CGGCAAUUCGAGGGGCUCGCGGCCUAUCAGCUAGUUGGCGAGGUAACGGCUCACCAAGGCGAUGACGGGUAGCUGGUCUGAGAGGAUGGCCAGCCACAUUGGGACUGAGAAACGGCCCAG
Molecule: ribosomal RNA, 120 nt
Filed under: uncultured bacterium
Lineage: Bacteria
Description: partial 16S ribosomal RNA
Rfam family: Bacterial small subunit ribosomal RNA
Source: RNAcentral